AUUUUAUAGUUAUUUUUCUGAAAGCACAAUGGAAAUUAAUGAAGAUCAUAUUCUGUUUUGUGGCCACUGCAAUGUCGGAAUUGGAAAAUUGCCAGAAAUCAUUGCCAAUGAUAUGAUUGCAAAUCAUCCUUGUUUAUCAAACUCAGAAAAUGUCUGACUUCAACAAAAAAUAUAUAUUCUGAUGCCAUACCCGAGACCCCUCUUGAUCCAAAAAAUAAUUUUGAAUUGCCACACCGUUCUAAGAAUUCAGUAGCUAUGACCAGUUCUAAUAGUGUUACUGAAAAAUCAAUAAAUGUUUUCGAGGGAUGGACGGGCAAUAUGGUUAAAUUACUAGUCGCUACAUAUAGUAACCAUAAAAGCAAAUUUAAUGAUCCAAAAUUUACCAAAAAAAAAGGUUUGGAAUUUAAUAAGCCAGGAUUUGAUGGAAAAAAGGAGUCAUUAAAAGUGGUAUCAAAUGUGAUGAAAAGUGGCGUAACCUGAUAAAAACAUAUGACAAAGUAAAGUUACAUUUGAACACUUCAGGAGGGAAUGAGAUUGUAUGGAAAUUUUUUGAUUUACAAAAUAUUUAUUUUAAGGAUCCUUAUUUCGAACCAGUGGCGGUGGCAAGUACUAGUGGAAUCAAGAGGAAGACAGGAGAAAAUACUGAAGCGAGGAACCUAUCACCAGGAGAGAGUAAAAGGCCAAAGAAAUUAAUAUCUUCUCUAGAAAUAGAAAAUAGAAGACAAAAACGACACGAUGAAAAGAUGAGUUUGAAAAGAGAAAUGUUCGAGUGGCUAAAAGAAAAUCACCCGAAAAAAGACUAAUUCUUAUUUGUUUUCAAGUUAUUUAUUCCAAAUGUGGAUUCCAAAGAAUACUUUUUUGUUUUAAAUAUUUUUUGUUGAUUUUGAAUAUUUUUUAUUUACUAUAUUUAUAAUGGUUUUUUAUUUAUGAGAAAUAUAGUUUUUUAUGU
Molecule: long non-coding RNA, 949 nt
Filed under: Leptinotarsa decemlineata (Colorado potato beetle)
Lineage: Eukaryota; Metazoa; Arthropoda; Insecta; Coleoptera; Chrysomelidae
Description: uncharacterized LOC111507806
Source: RNAcentral